This 448-nucleotide ribosomal RNA is filed under the name uncultured bacterium. Its description in RNAcentral is "bacterial SSU rRNA". It matches the Rfam family "Bacterial small subunit ribosomal RNA", at positions 328 to 792 of the family's 1533-position model. The record is from RNAcentral.
GUGCCAGACUCCUACGGGAGGCAGCAGUGGGGGAUAUUGCACAAUGGGGGAAACCCUGAUGCAGCGACGCCGCGUGUGGGAAGACGGUCCUCUGGAUUGUAAACCACUGUCCCCAGGGACGAAAAUGACGGUACCUGGGGAGGAAGCUCCGGCUAACUACGUGCCAGCAGCCGCGGUAAUACGUAGGGGGCAAGCGUUAUCCGGAUUUACUGGGUGUAAAGGGAGCGUAGACGGCGAUGCAAGUCAGAAGUGAAAGCCCGCGGCUCAACUGCGGGACUGCUUUUGAAACUGUAUAGCUUGAGUGCAGGAGAGGUAAGCGGAAUUCCUAGUGUAGCGGUGAAAUGCGUAGAUAUUAGGAGGAACACCAGUGGCGAAGGCGGCUUACUGGACUGUAACUGACGUUGAGGCUCGAAAGCGUGGGGAGCAAACAGGAUUAGAUACCCCGGUA